GCCCUGUGGAACAUUCCGGUGGGGGACUCUGGCCAGCCCGAGCAACGUGGAUCCUGAGAGCACUCCCAGGUGAAAUUCAUCUUAGCUUCUGGGAUUGGCUCCUACUCAACAUGCAAGCACUAAUCCUCUAACAUGCAGAGACAGAGUCUCACUCUGUUGCCAGGCUGGAGUGCAAUGAUGCCAUCUCGACUCGCCGCAACCUCCACCUCCCGGGUUCCAGUGAUUUUCCUGCAUCAGCCUCCCAAGUAGCUGGGACUACAGGCACGUGCCACCACGCCCAGCUAAUUUUUGUAUUUUUAGUGGGGACAGAGUUUCACCAUGUUGGCCAAGAUGGUCUUGAUCUCUUGACCUUGUGAUCCACCCACCUCAGCUUCCCAAAGUGCUGGGAUUACAGGCAUGAGCCACUGCGCCCAGCCCAUACAUAAGAAUUUUAAGUCCAGCAUGCUACCAUAAUAUAAAAAACAUCUAGGAAAGAGAAUCAGAUAUUUUCGUUGAGUGCUUACAAUGUAUGAAUCCUUUAGCAUCAUUAUCUCAUUUAAUUUGCAAGCAAUUUUUAAGAUAGGCAUCAUGGAACACCUACAACAUGCAAAGCAGUUUUCAUUCAUGACUUCAUUUAAUCUUCCCAAUGAAUUUAUGAAGAAAGUAUUAUUUUGGCAAAUACACACAUGACAACACUAAAACUCAAAUUAGAGAAUUUUCUAAAGAUCAAACAAGUUUAAAGUGCCAAAUUUAGGAUUCCAACUAUUUCUCUGUGUCAGGCCUUUGAGCCCAAGCUAAGCCAUCAUAUCCCCUGUGACCUGCACGUACACAUCCAGAUGGCCAGUUCCUGCCUUAACUGAUGACAUUCCACCACAAAAGAAAUGAAAAUGGCCUGUUCCUGCCUUAACUGAUGACAUUAUCUUGUGAAAUUCCUUCUCCUGGCUCAAAAGCUCCCCUACUGAGCACCUUGUGACCCCCACUCCUGCCUGCCAGAGGACAACCCCCCUUUGACUGUAAUUUUCCUUUACCUACCCAAAUCUUAUAAAAUGGCCCCACCCCUAUCUCCCUUUACUGACUCUCUUUCUGGACUCAGCCCACCUGCACCCAGGUGAUUAAAAGCUUUAUUGCUCACACAAA
This is a long non-coding RNA of Homo sapiens (human), 1116 nucleotides long. Lineage: Eukaryota; Metazoa; Chordata; Mammalia; Primates; Hominidae. The record is from Ensembl.